AAGACGUAGCUGAUGCUUGCGUUCUGCCUACGUCUUGGUGUGCUAAGCGCCUUCCCGUACGCUUAC
Molecule: transfer RNA, 66 nt
Filed under: Tachybaptus ruficollis (little grebe)
Lineage: Eukaryota; Metazoa; Chordata; Aves; Podicipediformes; Podicipedidae
Description: tRNA-Val
Source: RNAcentral